AUAUAAGGAAGUCAUUCAAAUUUAUAAGAAUAAGAGCCACUCCCCAGCUGACCAAUGGUUGUUGUUUAGUCCUUUCACACACACCCAACUUUCCAUGGUACAGGAAUAUAAAUAGAUAGUUCUCAAGGGAAGAAAUUCAAGUCCCCUAUAACCAUUUGGAAAAAAAAAAGUCUGAAAUCAUGAAUAAUCAGGAAAAUGCAAAUUAAAUUUGACAUUCUAUCUCACACUAAUCAGAUUGGUAAAGCUGAUUAAAAAAAGAAGAAAAAGAAUGAUGAUAAAGAGGGGAGGGGCUUUGAGAAAACAGGCAGAUCCAUCCUUCCUUCCUUCCUUCCUUCCUUCCUUCCUUCCUUCCUUCCUUCCUUCCUUCCUUCCUUCCUUCCUUCCUUCCUUCCUUCCUUCCUUCCUUCCUUCCUUCCUUCCUUCCUUCCUUCCUUCCUUUCUUCCUCUCUCUCUCUCUCUCUCUUUCUUUCUCUCUUUCUCUCUCUCUCUCUUUCUUUCUCUCUCUCUCUCUCUUUCUUCUUUCUUUCUUUCUUUCUUUCUUUCUUUCUUUCUUUCUUUCUUUCUUUCUUUCUUUCUUUCUUUCUUUCUUUCUUUCUUUCUUUCUUUCUUUCUUUCUUUCUUUCUUUCCUUACCUUCCACCUUAGAAUCAAUACUAUAUAUUGGUUCCUAGGCAGAAGAGUGGUAAGGGCUAGACAAUGGGGGUUAAGUGACUUGCCCAGGGUCACAUAGCUAGGAAGUAUUUGAGGCCAGAUUUGAAACUAGGACCUCCCAUCAGGUCUGGCUCUCAAUCUACUGGGCUACUCA
Molecule: long non-coding RNA, 804 nt
Filed under: Monodelphis domestica (gray short-tailed opossum)
Lineage: Eukaryota; Metazoa; Chordata; Mammalia; Didelphimorphia; Didelphidae
Description: lncRNA (ENSMODG00000042606.1)
Source: RNAcentral